GUCUCGUUGGUGUAGUGGUAGCAUGCCUUCUUCGGGUAUAUCAUCUGAUUUGUACGCUUUGGAGGCGGUCCCCGGUUCAAUCCCGGGACGGGACC
Cryptococcus amylolentus CBS 6039 is the source of this 95-nucleotide non-coding RNA. The record is from the annotation of a RefSeq genome assembly. NCBI's taxonomy places the organism in Eukaryota, Fungi, Basidiomycota, Tremellomycetes, Tremellales, Cryptococcaceae.